RNAcentral lists this ribosomal RNA (253 nucleotides) under uncultured bacterium. RNAcentral describes it as "partial 16S ribosomal RNA". It matches the Rfam family "Bacterial small subunit ribosomal RNA", at positions 524 to 776 of the family's 1533-position model. The record is from RNAcentral.
GACGUAGGGCGCGAGCGUUGUCCGGAUUUAUUGGGCGUAAAGAGCGUGUAGGCGGCCAGGUAGGUCUGCUGUGAAAACUCGAGGCUCAACCUCGAGACGUCGGCGGAAACCAUCUGGCUAGAGUCCGGAAGAGGAGAGUGGAAUUCCUGGUGUAGCGGUGAAAUGCGCAGAUAUCAGGAAGAACACCAAUGGCGAAGGCAGCUCUCUGGGACGGUACUGACGCUGAGACGCGAAAGCGUGGGGAGCGAACAGG